GACCUGAGGAGGGUGGCGGAGGUGUUUAGCGCGAGGUGGUGGGGCCCGAGGAGAGCGGCGAGAGGUGGGCUGGGGCCCAGCAGCUGCUCCGAGCUUUUCUGCCAUUUGAAGCUUCUGCUGGGAGCCAGCUGUGACCAGAGGAAUGGCUCCAGCCAUCCGGCCAUGUAAGAUGUACCUGCUUCCCCUUUGC
Molecule: non-coding RNA, 190 nt
Organism: Saimiri boliviensis boliviensis (Bolivian squirrel monkey)
Lineage: Eukaryota; Metazoa; Chordata; Mammalia; Primates; Cebidae
Source: RefSeq, a predicted model, not a curated record